Molecule: ribosomal RNA, 478 nt
Filed under: uncultured bacterium
Lineage: Bacteria
Description: partial 16S ribosomal RNA
Rfam family: Bacterial small subunit ribosomal RNA
Source: RNAcentral
GACGAACGCUGGCGGCGUGCUUAACACAUGCAAGUCGAGCGGUAAGGCCUUUCGGGGUACACGAGCGGCGAACGGGUGAGUAACACGUGGGUGAUCUGCCCUGCACUCUGGGAUAAGCCUGGGAACCUGGGUCUAAUACUGGAUAUGACCUCAGCAUGCAUGUGCUGGGGUGGAAAGCUUUUGUGGUGCAGGAUGGGCCCGCGGCCUAUCAGCUUGUUGGUUGGGUAAUGGCCUACCAAGGCGACGACGGGUAGCCGACCUGAGGGGGUGGCCGGCCACACUGGGACUGAGACACGGCCCAGACGCCUACGGGAGGCAGCAGUGGGGAAUAUUGCACAAUGGGCGGAAGCCUGAUGCAGCGACGCCGCGUGAGGGAUGAAGGCCUUCGGGUUGUAAACCUCUUUCAGCAGGGACGAAGCGUGAGUGACGGUACCUGCAGAAGAAGCACCGGCUAACUACGUGCCAGCAGCCGCGGUAA